CCUACGGGUGGCAGCAGUGGGGAAUAUUGCACAAUGGGGGAAACCCUGAUGCAGCGACGCCGCGUGAGUGAAGAAGUAAUUAGGUACGUAAAGCUCUAUCAGCAGGGAAGAAAAGGACGGUACCUGAGUAAGAAGCCACGGCUAACGACGUGCCAGCAGCCGCGGUAAUACGUAGGGGGCAAGCGUUAUCCGGAGUUACUGGGUGUAAAGGGAGCGUAGACGGUGCGCCAAGUCUGGAGUGAAAUGCCGCAGCUUAACGGCGGAACUGCUUUUGAAACGGGCGAACUAGAGUGUGGGAGGGGUAAGCGGAAUUCCUAGUGUAGCGGUGAAAUGCGUAGAUCUUAGGC
RNAcentral lists this ribosomal RNA (347 nucleotides) under uncultured bacterium. RNAcentral describes it as "partial 16S ribosomal RNA". It matches the Rfam family "Bacterial small subunit ribosomal RNA", at positions 338 to 702 of the family's 1533-position model. The record is from RNAcentral.